AGAGUUUGAUUCUGGCUCAGAUUGAACGCUGGCGGCAGGCCUAACACAUGCAAGUCGAACGGUAGCACAGGAGAGCUUGCUCUCUGGGUGACGAGUGGCGGACGGGUGAGUAAUGCAUGGGGAGCUGCCCAAUCGAGGGGGAUACCAGCUGGAAACGGCUGCUAAUACCGCAUACGCCCUGAGGGGGAAAGGUGGGGACCUUCGGGCCUACCGCGAUUGGAUGCACCCAUGUGGGAUUAGCUAGUUGGUGAGGUAACGGCUCACCAAGGCGACGAUCUCUAGCUGGUCUGAGAGGAUGACCAGCCACACUGGAACUGAGACACGGUCCAGACUCCUACGGGAGGCAGCAGUGGGGAAUAUUGCACAAUGGGGGAAACCCUGAUGCAGCCAUGCCGCGUGUGUGAAGAAGGCCUUCGGGUUGUAAAGCACUUUCAGUAGGGAGGAAGGGGUGAUGACUAAUAUUCAUCAUCAUUGACGUUACCUACAGAAGAAGCACCGGCUAACUGCCGUGCCAGCAGCCGCGUAAU
This 527-nucleotide ribosomal RNA is filed under the name uncultured Gammaproteobacteria bacterium. RNAcentral describes it as "bacterial SSU rRNA". It matches the Rfam family "Bacterial small subunit ribosomal RNA", at positions 8 to 524 of the family's 1533-position model. The record is from RNAcentral. Lineage: Bacteria; Pseudomonadati; Pseudomonadota; Gammaproteobacteria.